RNAcentral lists this long non-coding RNA (3453 nucleotides) under Homo sapiens (human). RNAcentral's name for it is "uncharacterized LOC105374557, transcript variant 4 (LOC105374557)". Lineage: Eukaryota; Metazoa; Chordata; Mammalia; Primates; Hominidae. The record is from RNAcentral.
AGAAAUCUUCUCAGUGAGCUGCUAUUCAGACUCAGAAAGUAGCUUGGAGAAUACUCCAGACGUUAGGCUUUGCGAGUUUUUGUUUGUUUACAUAGAAAAGUCUCUUUUAAAUUUCCUUAUUCUUACACUGCAAAGAGACCUAACCUUGAUGGGUCCCAUCUGCAAUGCUCCUCCUGAAAAGAGACAGAGCUGUUUAACUGAACUGACCUAUUUGGAGGACGAAUAGACUGAUUGAAAAAGGUGCCCAGGAAGUCCUGGAACUGAGUCCUGGGGCAAGGUUCUGGAAGUUGGGACAAGAAGGCUGAACCUCGCUGGUGAUUCAGAUGGAUCAUGAGGAUCUUUCAACAAAGCUAAGUUCCCGUCUUUUAACGCAGUUAUUCUCAUACUUUUAUACUGAAAUAUCCAGAAUAGCAAAUGAGUUAAAUAUGUUUUCUGUGGGGUUCUGUACAAAGAAGAUUUAGAGCUUUAUGAACCUAAAAUAACAUAUCACAAGGAGAAAAUUUACUUGAAGUGGGAGACUUGGCUUAAAAGCAUCUAAUAUAAAUUGUAUAUUAUAUUCAAUAAUACAAAAGCAAUGCUUUAUUUAGAAUGAAUUAAAAUGCAUGCUUCAGACAAAAUGCAUGAUGUUUAGCUUUUGAUUUACUGAAUAUACUAUUCAACAGAUGUUUGAGUUACAUAGUUUGAGGAGCACAGGCCUUUGGUAUUGAUGGCUCCUGUUAAAAUAAAAACAUGUUUUCUGAGAGCAUAAUCAUAUGAAACCAGGAGCACAUAUUAACAUAAAACUCAAAUCACUUCCCCUGACUUUCUUCUUUCAAAUGUAAAGAAAGUGGGAAACAGGACAGAUGAAUUUGAAGAAACAGAAGAGCUCAGGAAAGUUCAAAGCAUGAAGCAAACUCAAAAGUAUAUCUAAAUACCUAGGGAGCACCUUCAAAGCACAAGGUACCUGAAGAUGAAACGGCAGAAGUGAAAAGAAUUGCUCGUGUAGUACAGGGCUAAAAUUGUACCUGAAGCAUCUCUGCUGCUAUCCCAGGAGAAGAAGAGUCGACAGUAGCUAUGGUAAACAUGCAUGGAAGCAUCAGGGAAAACAGAAAUUUAGAGAAGCAGAUAGAGUGAGCCCAAGGCAAGAUAAGGGUUUCUGGGUCUGAAUUUCAGAAAAGCCUGACUAUGGAGAGUGGGAGUUCCUGUUUUCUUUCAGUGACUUGCUAAUUUCAAUUUUGUGUGUGUGUGGCAUUAACAGAUUUUUGCCUAACUUGGGACAUUUUUAACAGUAGAGGAACUCUUCUGUCAGUUCUGAUAUGGUAAUUUUAAAACACAUAUUCUUUAACUGAACAUUCAUUAAAUCACUUGGCCAGGAAUCCAAAUAACAAAAUGUCUGUCAUGGAAUUCUGUGUGUAAUAGGAGUUAUGUAACUUGUUUCUUCUUAGUAGAGAGAAUAAAAAGUAAAGUCAAAACCACCCCCAGAUGACCAUUUUUAGCACUUUCAUUUUAUCGGGAGAGGUGAGCAACAUGCAGAAAAUAUAUAUUCUUGAAUUAAUCUCCUUUGGGUACAGAGAGAAAAGAGCUCAUUAUUCUUCUAACUGGCAACGUUUGAUUUUAUUGACACCCUAACAGUAUGUCAAUUGCUCAGUAUAUCUCCCUAGGCUGUAGUCUUGCAGACUUUCUUUUUUCUUUUUUUUUUUAACUUACCAAUUCUAUGAUGUAUUCCCAUGGAUGUCUCUUUUUAUGCUAUUUUACAAUCUAUUUCUAGAAUAAUCAUGGAAAUUUCAAUGGAAACAACAUAUCACAUUCUCUGUCUACUACAUAAGUAUGUCUUUUUUAUUUGUAAAUAGAUCAUAUUUUGCACAUAAUUAGGUAAUACCCACAUAUCUCAAUUUGGCUUAGGAAUUAUAUUGAAAGAUAGAAUUGCAUAAGGGUAGGGAUUUUACUUUUAAAUUAUUUUCAUGUCUCCAUGGAUUGGCUCUGUGCUUUACACCCAGUAGCUGUGAAACAAGUACUUAUUUAAUGAUGAAUGAAUAAAUAAAUAAAUAGUUAAAUGCAGCAACAAAAAUGUUGGUAGAUAUAUAGGAUUGUAGAAUCUAAUUGCUUAGUAGGAUCAUCAAGUUCUACCCAAAUUUGGUGUGGCAAACAGAACAAUGGUCCCUUAAGGAUGGCCUAGUCCUAACCUCCCAAACCUGGAAUAUGUUACCUUAUGUAACAAAGAGACUUUGCAGAUGUAAUUAAGUUAAUGAUCUUAAGACAGAAAUAUUAUUCUAAGUGAACUCAAUGAAAUUACAAUGAACAAUGUUCCUUAAAAGAGGAAGGCAAAAGUUCAGAAUGAAACACACAGACACACAUAAAGUGGCUACGAAAGCAGAAGUAGUGAGAGAUUUGAAGAUGCUACCUUACUAGAUUCAAAGACAGAGGAAGGGGUUAAAAUCUGAGGAAAUCAGGCAAGGCAGCCUUUCGAAGCUGCAGAAGAUGAGGAAAUGAAUUCUCCCUAGAACUUCCAGAUAGAAACAGCCCUACUGAUGCCUUGACAUUAGCUCAGUGAAACGUAUUUUCAGACUCUAACUUCCAGAUCUGUAGGAGAUAAAUUUGUGUUGUUUAAGCUACUACAUUUGUGGCAGUUUGUCAAAGUAGCAAAAGGAAACGUAUAUUUGGUAGGCAUCAGAAUUUCCUGAGCAAUAUAGUGUGAUUACCUUUGAAAAUUCUACUCAGCAGUCCUGGAAUUGCAGCCUGAAAUUUGAAAUUUACUAAGUGCUCCCACUAUAUCUGAGUCAGGAAUUACCUAGGAAACCAUGAUAUAUUGCAUUACACUAAUUUUGUACUUGAGAAAAAGCACAAUGUUAAAAUCUCAAGAACAUUAAUAUAGACUUAAGUACAAUUUAUCAUGUAAAAACAUAUUUGAAAAAGUAAGCCUGAAAAAAAGAAACAACUGAACUAUUAACACUAUAUUCUCUAACUAUAUAUUGAUUUUCUCCUUUUGCUUUUACACAGCGAACCACAUAUACUUUCACAGAGGGUGAUUUGGAUAAUAUGUUCCAUGCAUUGCUCCAAGCAGAAAUUCUCAAUCUAUCAUUUCUGCUUGUAUUAUUUUACACCUCUUAAAGACAUUCACAUUCCAUCACAGGGAGCCAAAAUCAGCCUGUUAUAUCUCUGUUUGCGAAUACCGCAAUACUUACUUUACUUUCUCCUGAAUAGAUUGUUAGUGGUUUUUAUUAUCUCCUGUAAAGAGUGUGAGAAAUGCAUGUUGCAAGGACACUUUUGUUUUAUUCACAUUAUUCUACUGAAUCAUGCUAACCAUAGCAUUACAUCUAUUUAUCUAUCUAGCUAUUAAACAUAUUCAGAAUACCUAACAACUUUAGGGGCAUUCAGUAUAUAGAAUAUGCUAGUAUUUGUUAUUUUCUAAAAAUUAAUAAUUAAGAAUGUCAUUCUAUUAUUGCAUUAGUGACUUAGUUAAAAUUUAGACCAUUA